CUGGGUUGGCCAAAAAACUCAUUUGGGUUUUUCUAUAAGAUGUUAUGGAAAAAUCUGAAUGAACUUUUUGGCCUA
This 75-nucleotide microRNA precursor is filed under the name Ovis aries (sheep). RNAcentral's name for it is "miRNA (ENSOARG00000024307.1)". Lineage: Eukaryota; Metazoa; Chordata; Mammalia; Artiodactyla; Bovidae. The record is from RNAcentral.